GAUGAACGCUAGCUACAGGCUUAACACAUGCAAGUCGAGGGGAAACGAUAGAGAAAGCUUGCUUUUUCUAGGCGUCGACCGGCGCACGGGUGAGUAACGCGUAUCCAACCUGCCCAUCACUUGGGGAUAACCUUGCGAAAGUAAGACUAAUACCCAUUGACGUCUCUAGAAGACAUCUAAAAGGGAUUAAAGAUUUAUCCGUGAUGAAUGGGGAUGCGUAUGAUUAGCUUGUUGGCGGGGUAACGGGCCACCAAGGCGACGAUCAGUAGGGGUUCUGAGAGGAAGGUCCCCCACAUUGGAGCUGAGACACGGUCCAAACUCCUACGGGAGGCAGCAGUGAGGAAUAUUGGUCAAUGGACGAGAGUCUGAACCAGCCAAGUAGCGUGCAGGAUGACGGCCCUAUGGGUUGUAAACUGCUUUUAUAAGGGAAUAAAGUGGGAGUCGUGACUCUUUUUGCAUGUGCCUUAUGAAUAAGGACCGGCUAAUUCCGUGCCAGCCGCCGCAGUAA
This 508-nucleotide ribosomal RNA is filed under the name uncultured bacterium. Its description in RNAcentral is "partial 16S ribosomal RNA". It matches the Rfam family "Bacterial small subunit ribosomal RNA", at positions 28 to 523 of the family's 1533-position model. The record is from RNAcentral.